This is a non-coding RNA of Microcebus murinus (gray mouse lemur), 1069 nucleotides long. Lineage: Eukaryota; Metazoa; Chordata; Mammalia; Primates; Cheirogaleidae. The record is from RefSeq and is a predicted model, not a curated record.
CGAGGAGCACGGGCUUAGCCGCAGAUGAUUUCAGGGACCCACCUCUUGCAUAAAUCAAGGUAUGCUCUUGCAUUGCUCUGCAUAGGGUGAUAUCUAGUAAGUUGUGCCACGCUGCCUGAUGUCAUGUGGCCAGUGUUUUGGACCGUGGUGCGUACCUAUGCUCCCUAUGUCACAUUCCCUGUGGCCUUUGUGGUUGGGGCUGUGGGCUGGAAUGGUUCAUCAGGGGAAAGGAUCCCCAGCCUGUGGAGGAGGAAAAGAGCAUCUCAGAACGCCGGGAGGAUCGGAAGCUGGAUGAGCUGCUAGGCAAGGACCACACCCAGGUGGUGAGCCUUAAGGACAAGCUGGAAUUUGCCCCUAAAGCUGUCCUGAACAGAAACCGACCGGAGAAGAAUUAAUGGAGGACACAGAGCCCUCUGGUCCUACUGUGGGCCAUGACUGGUCCUGGCCCCAUGUCCACUCAGCUGCAGAACCCACAUCUGAUUUGCUUUGUCGCUUAUUCUGGCCCAUCCCCCACCACACAGCCACACACAUACUGGCUACUCCUUGAUGGCCAGGCAGACACAGCCGCAGCUGAGGGGCCAAUGAAGAGGAAGGCUCUUGAGGGUUCUGGCCAGAAGGCUGCAUCUGUUGCAUGGUGGCCACAACUGCUCAGGCAUCCCAGCUUAUGGGUAUACUUCCAGGAGGAGUGUUAUGAAAUGAACAUUGGCUGCCAGUCUCCACGGAGAGGUGUUUUGGCCUCAAGUGGGAAUGGCCGGGAUUGGGUGUUGCUUUUUAGAGGGAUAUAUACAUGUCCAGUUUAAUUUUGCACUGGGAAGAAUUCAGAAAUCUACAGGGCUUCCUUCACGAGUUUGCCCUAUCCUUUGUGCUCUUUGGUCCUGAAAUUGUCUUGUCAGCUCAGGAAUGGGAUUCCCUGGGGAAGGAAAGCAUUUCUUUGUUCUGGGAAGCCCAGGCUGCUUACUAUGGGGCAGGGAGAAACAUGUGCCUGGUGAAUUUGCUUGAAAACAAUCAUCAUCUUCCACCUCCCAUCACUGUAUAAUGCAGAACUUGAUUAAAGUUGCGUCUAAGAACC